RNAcentral lists this transfer RNA (95 nucleotides) under Lachancea thermotolerans. RNAcentral describes it as "partial transfer RNA". It matches the Rfam family "tRNA". Rfam says of the family: Transfer RNA (tRNA) molecules are approximately 80 nucleotides in length. Their secondary structure includes four short double-helical elements and three loops (D, anti-codon, and T loops). Further hydrogen bonds mediate the characteristic L-shaped molecular structure. tRNAs have two regions of fundamental functional importance: the anti-codon, which is responsible for specific mRNA codon recognition, and the 3' end, to which the tRNAs corresponding amino acid is attached (by aminoacyl-tRNA synthetases). tRNAs cope with the degeneracy of the genetic code in two manners: having more than one tRNA (with a specific anti-codon) for a particular amino acid; and 'wobble' base-pairing, i.e. permitting non-standard base-pairing at the 3rd anti-codon position. RNAcentral also lists the same sequence under 2 other names. The record is from RNAcentral. Lineage: Eukaryota; Fungi; Ascomycota; Saccharomycetes; Saccharomycetales; Saccharomycetaceae.
GGCACUAUGGCCGAGUGGUUAAGGCGAGAGACUCGAACUUUUCUUGAGAGAUCUCUUGGGCUAUGCCCGCGUCGGUUCAAAUCCGGCUGGUGUCG